AAGCUGCCAGAGUGGUCGAAUGGGCCGCACUCGAAAUGCGGUGAACGGGUAACUGUUCCGGGGGUUCGAAUCCCUCGGAGCCUC
RNAcentral lists this transfer RNA (84 nucleotides) under Parabacteroides goldsteinii. RNAcentral's name for it is "tRNA-Ser". The stretch from base 5 to 76 matches the Rfam family "tRNA", at positions 8 to 63 of the family's 71-position model. Rfam says of the family: Transfer RNA (tRNA) molecules are approximately 80 nucleotides in length. The record is from RNAcentral. Lineage: Bacteria; Pseudomonadati; Bacteroidota; Bacteroidia; Bacteroidales; Tannerellaceae.